RNAcentral lists this ribosomal RNA (1399 nucleotides) under marine sediment metagenome. Its description in RNAcentral is "bacterial LSU rRNA". It matches the Rfam family "Bacterial large subunit ribosomal RNA", at positions 594 to 2001 of the family's 2925-position model. The record is from RNAcentral.
CGACCGCGUACUUUUUGUAUAACGGUCCAGCGAGUUACGAUUCUUGGCAAGGUUAAGCACUUAAGGUGUGGAGCCGAAGGGAAGCCGAGUCUUAAUAGGGCGUUAAGUCAAUGAUCGUAGACCCGAAACCGGGUGACCUAUCCAUGUGCAGGUUGAAGUUACCGUAAAAGGUAAUGGAGGACCGAACUCACAUCAGUUGAAAAUGGUGGAGAUGACGUGUGGAUAGCGGAGAAAUUCCAAUCGAACCCGGAGAUAGCUGGUUCUCCUCGAAAUAGCUUUAGGGCUAGCCUCGAGAAAGUCUAAUGGAGGUAGAGCACUGAAUUGCCUAGGGCGCUUCACAGCGUACCGAAGUAUAUCAAACUCCGAAUGCCAUAUAGAUGAUUCUCGGGAGUCAGACUAUGGGAGAUAAGUUUCAUAGUCAAAAGGGAAAGAGCCCAGACCGUCAGCUAAGGUCCCAAAAUAUAUGUUAAGUGGUAAAGGAUGUGGGAUUUCACAGACAACUAGGAUGUUGGCUUAGAAGCAGCCAUUCAUUCAAAGAGUGCGUAAUAGCUCACUAGUCGAGAGAUCCUGCGCCGAAAAUGUAACGGGGCUAAAACAUAUUACCGAAGCUACGGGUUGAUAGAUUAAUCUAUCAGCGGUAGAGGAGCAUUCCUAACACGACGAAGCUGUACCGUAAGGAGCAGUGGAGAGUUAGGAAGAGAGAAUGCUGGAAUGAGUAGCGAGAGAGAAGUGAGAAUCUUCUCGGCCGAAUAUCUAAGGUUUCCAAAGUAAAGCUGAUCUUCUUUGGGUAAGUCGGGACCUAAGGUGAGGGCGAAAGCCGUAGCCGAUGGACAACAGGUUGAUAUUCCUGUACUACGUAUAAACAGAACUGUGGGGACACGGAAGGAUAGGGAAAUCCAGGAAUGGAAAAACUGGUGCAAGCACAAAGGCUGAAUGGUAGGCAAAUCCGCCAUUCGCGAAGGUUGAAGUGUUACGCGGAUCGAAAUUAAAGUAGAGAAGUUCCUGAAUCCAUGCCGUCGAGAAAAGCCGCUAUAGUUUUAUACGUACCCGUACCGCAAACCGACACAGGUAGAUGAGGAGAGAAUCCUAAGGCCGACGGGAGAAGCGUUGUUAAGGAACUCGGCAAAAUGACCCCGUAACUUCGGGAGAAGGGGUGCCCCAUGCAAAUGGGGCCGCAGAGAAUAGGCCCAAGCGACUGUUUAGCAAAAACACAGGUUUAUGCAAAACCGAAAGGUGAAGUAUAUGAGCUGACGCCUGCCCGGUGCUGGAAGGUUAAGGGGAGUGCUUAGACUUAGGUCGAAGGUGCGAACUUAAGCCCCAGUAAACGGCGGCCGUAACUAUAACGGUCCUAAGGUAGCGAAAUUCCUUGUCGGGUAAGUUCCGACCCGCACGAAAGGCG